This 492-nucleotide ribosomal RNA is filed under the name uncultured bacterium. Its description in RNAcentral is "partial 16S ribosomal RNA". It matches the Rfam family "Bacterial small subunit ribosomal RNA", at positions 31 to 507 of the family's 1533-position model. The record is from RNAcentral.
AGGGAACGCUGGCGGUAGGCCUAACACAUGCAAGUCGAACGGCAGCACAGUAAGAGCUUGCUCUUACGGGUGGCGAGUGGCGGACGGGUGAGGAAUACAUCGGAAUCUACUUUUUCGUGGGGGAUAACGUAGGGAAACUUACGCUAAUACCGCAUACGACCUACGGGUGAAAGCAGGGGAUCUUCGGACCUUGCGCGAUUGAAUGAGCCGAUGUCGGAUUAGCUAGGUGGCGGGGUAAAGGCCCACGAAGGCGACGAUCCGUAGCUGGUCUGACAGGAUGAUCGGCCACACUGGAACUGAGACACGGUCCAGACUCCUACGGGAGGCAGCAGUGGGGAAUAUUGGACAAUGGGCGCAAGCCUGAUCCAGCCAUACCGCGUGGGUGAAGAAGGCCUUCGGGUUGUAAAGCCCUUUUGUUGGGAAAGAAAAGCAGCAGGUUAAUACCCAGCUGUUCUGACGGUACCCAAAGAAUAAGCACCGGCUAACUUCGUG